This 253-nucleotide ribosomal RNA is filed under the name uncultured bacterium. RNAcentral describes it as "partial 16S ribosomal RNA". It matches the Rfam family "Bacterial small subunit ribosomal RNA", at positions 524 to 776 of the family's 1533-position model. The record is from RNAcentral.
UACGUAGGUGGCAAGCGUUGUCCGGAUUUAUUGGGUUUAAAGGGUGCGUAGGCGGCCCUGUAAGUCAGUGGUGAAAUACGGCAGCUCAACUGUCGAGGUGCCAUUGAUACUGCAGGGCUUGAGUACAGACGAGGUAGGCGGAAUUGACGGUGUAGCGGUGAAAUGCUUAGAUAUCGUCAAGAACACCGAUAGCGAAGGCAGCUUACUAGGCUAUAACUGACACUAAGACACGAAAGUGUAAAGAUCAAACAGG